UAAGACGAACCGUACAAACGUUAUUCGGAAUCACUGGGCUUAGAGGGUGCGUAGGCGGCGGGGAAAGUUGGAUGUGAAAUCCCUCGGCUCAACCGAGGAACUGCGUCCAAAACUUCCUGGCUUGAGGGAGACAGAGGUGAGCGGAACUCAGGGUGGAGCGGUGAAAUGCGUUGAUAUCCUGGGGAACACCGGUGGCGAAGGCGGCUCACUGGGUCUCUUCUGACGCUGAGGCACGAAAGCUAGGGUAGCGAACGGGAUUAGAUACCCCGGUAGUCCUAGCUGUAAACGAUGAGCACUGGGUAGGAGAUCCUUCCACAGGUUUCCUGCCGUAGCGAAAGUGUUAAGUGCUCCGCCUGGGGAGUAUGGUCGCAAGGCUG
RNAcentral lists this ribosomal RNA (377 nucleotides) under uncultured bacterium. Its description in RNAcentral is "bacterial SSU rRNA". It matches the Rfam family "Bacterial small subunit ribosomal RNA", at positions 521 to 896 of the family's 1533-position model. The record is from RNAcentral.